GACGAACGCUGGCGGCGUGCUUAACACAUGCAAGUCGAACGGAAAGGCCUGCUUUCCCUUGUGGAUUGCGGGUACUCGAGUGGCGAACGGGUGAGUAACACGUGAGUGAUCUGCCCCCAACUUGGGUAUAAGCCUGGGAAACUGGGUCUAAUUCCCGAUAGGACUGCAGGGUGGUGCCUGUGGUGGCAAACGAUUUUCUAGUGGUUGGGGCUGAGCUCGCGGCCUAUCAGCUUGUUGGUGGGGUAAUGGCCUACCAAGGCGGCGACGGGUAGCCGGCCUGGGAGGGUGGACGGCCACAUUGGGACUGAGAUACGGCCCAGACUCCUACGGGAGGCAGCAGUGGGGAAUAGUGCACAAUGGGCGGAAGCCUGAUGCAGCGACGCCGCGUGGGGGAUGACGGCCUUCGGGUUGUAAACUCCUUUCGACCGCGAGGAAGCCACCUGGUUGGAAGGGUGGUGACGGUAGUGGUAGAAGAAGCACCGGCUAACUACGUG
Molecule: ribosomal RNA, 494 nt
Filed under: uncultured bacterium
Lineage: Bacteria
Description: partial 16S ribosomal RNA
Rfam family: Bacterial small subunit ribosomal RNA
Source: RNAcentral